Molecule: long non-coding RNA, 667 nt
Filed under: Canis lupus familiaris (dog)
Lineage: Eukaryota; Metazoa; Chordata; Mammalia; Carnivora; Canidae
Description: lncRNA (ENSCAFG00845011608.1)
Source: RNAcentral
GCCCGGGGACCGGCUCCCCCCGCCCCCGCGGGCCCCGCGGCCCCGGCCCUGAGCGCCUCUUCCCAGCCCUUCGCUGUGCGCUCCUCCGCGGUCCCCUCGGCCCAGGCGGUCCUUCCCAUUCCUGCCGCUGUCACUUUUUCUACUGGACUAAUAAAGUUUGGGGAAGGAAUCUCCAGCGGUUGCUCCUCUUGGUGCAAUAGUUACCGAGUUUCCUUCACACGAAGUUCCAGGGCUGCCACCCUGAAGAAGUGCCGGCAGCGUCCUCCCUGGACACCACGAUACUAUUUUUCUCCUGCCCUGCCCAGCCGGUGGAGGAGAUUCACGGUCUUCCUGUCGCGUCGGGACCCCUUGAGGUUCCACGGGGACGGGAGAAGGAGUAGCUGUCCCCUCCCCUUCAGUAGGAAGUGUAGUCCGCGCUCGAGAACCGCCAACCAACACCCGCAUCACGCUGGGUUCCUGCAAACCCGACGGAGCGCUCCUCCGAGCCUCUCUGCAGGCCCCAGGGGAGGCGGUGGGAUUCCUGCCCCGCGACGGAAGCCGCGCUGAGGGGCCCUGCCCUGCCCCCUGGCCCCCUGGAUGGGUCUGGGAGAGGGGCAGGGCUGCCCUUUCCCGCCCGAGAAGCAGCGCGAGGGCGCUCACCCCCAUCCGGAGACGCGAGGGUGACGGA